GGUUUUUAGAAAUUAUUAAAAAUCAAACCUGCUCAAUGCUUAAGUAAAUAGCCGCGGUAUUAUAACCGUGCAAAGGUAGCAUAAUCACUUGUCUUUUAAUUGAGGACUGGAAUGAAAGGUUAGACUAUGUAAUUCUGUCUUAUAAUAAUAUUUUGAAAUUUAUAUUUUAGUAAAAAAGCUAAAAUUAAAAUUAAAGACGAGAAGACCCUAUCAAGUUUCACAAUAAUACCUUGUUUUCAAGUCAAGCAAAAAUUGUUUUGCUGGGGCAGCAGAUAAAAUUUCUUUUAUUUUAAUAUUAUGGAAUAUAAUCCUUGUUAAAUCAAAAAGUUUUUAAAUAAAAAUAAGUUACUGUAGGGAUAACAGCAUAAUUUUUUUUAAGAGUUCUCAUUGACAAAAAAGUUUGUGACCUCGAUGUUGGAUUAAGAAUCCUUAUUCAUGCAAUAAUGAAAUAAGGAAGUCUGUUCGACUUUUAAUUUCUUCCA
RNAcentral lists this ribosomal RNA (482 nucleotides) under Vaejovis intermedius. RNAcentral describes it as "partial 16S ribosomal RNA". It matches the Rfam family "Bacterial large subunit ribosomal RNA", at positions 1832 to 2600 of the family's 2925-position model. Lineage: Eukaryota; Metazoa; Arthropoda; Arachnida; Scorpiones; Vaejovidae. The record is from RNAcentral.